GUCUCCUCUCCUUCGGGAGAACGGAAGGACGCCUGUGGCCUACAGAACCCAACUGGCAACAUGGCACACAGGGAGGAGAAGAAGGAAUAUGGAUGGGACUCAAGGGAAUCACUGGACUGCCUCCGCCACUGCCAGUAGCAGGAUUGCAGAUCAGAGAAUAACAUUUGUCUUGUUGGAGGUUUACAAGAAUAUCAUGAUCUGACCUAUGUGGACAGCAGAGAGAACAAAGGAUUCUGACCCCAAGAAGUUUGCAACAACCAACCACAUUCUGUCCCUUUUUAGUAUAAAAGCUAGAAUUCUAACCCAGGAAAGAUGGUUCUUUGGGACACCAGUCCAUCAUCUUGUCAGUCUGCUGGCUUUCCAAAUAAAGUUGCUAUUC
Long non-coding RNA from Bos taurus (domestic cattle), 379 nucleotides. The record is from Ensembl. NCBI's taxonomy places the organism in Eukaryota, Metazoa, Chordata, Mammalia, Artiodactyla, Bovidae.